GAGUUUGAUCAUGGCUCAGAUUGAACGCUGGCGGCAGGCCUAACACAUGCAAGUCGAGCGGAUGAGAGGAGCUUGCUCCUCGAUUCAGCGGCGGACGGGUGAGUAAUGCCUAGGAAUCUGCCUGGUAGUGGGGGACAACGUUUCGAAAGGAACGCUAAUACCGCAUACGUCCUACGGGAGAAAGCAGGGGACCUUCGGGCCUUGCGCUAUCAGAUGAGCCUAGGUCGGAUUAGCUAGUUGGUGAGGUAAUGGCUCACCAAGGCGACGAUCCGUAACUGGUCUGAGAGGAUGAUCAGUCACACUGGAACUGAGACACGGUCCAGACUCCUACGGGAGGCAGCAGUGGGGAAUAUUGGACAAUGGGCGAAAGCCUGAUCCAGCCAUGCCGCGUGUGUGAAGAAGGUCUUCGGAUUGUAAAGCACUUUAAGUUGGGAKGAAGGGUUGUUUCCUAAUACGAAGCAAUUUUGACGUUACCGACAGAAUAAGCACCGGCUAACUCUGUGCCA
RNAcentral lists this ribosomal RNA (506 nucleotides) under uncultured eubacterium WR120. Its description in RNAcentral is "bacterial SSU rRNA". It matches the Rfam family "Bacterial small subunit ribosomal RNA", at positions 9 to 510 of the family's 1533-position model. The record is from RNAcentral.